RNAcentral lists this ribosomal RNA (468 nucleotides) under uncultured bacterium. Its description in RNAcentral is "partial 16S ribosomal RNA". It matches the Rfam family "Bacterial small subunit ribosomal RNA", at positions 28 to 507 of the family's 1533-position model. The record is from RNAcentral.
GACGAACGCUGGCGGCGCGCCUAACACAUGCAAGUCGAACGGAGUCAAGAGGAGCUUGCUUUUCUUGACUUAGUGGCGAACGGGUGAGUAACGCGUGAGUAACCUGCCCUGGAGUGGGGGACAACAGUUGGAAACGACUGCUAAUACCGCAUAAGCCCACGGAUCUGCAUGGAUCUGCGGGAAAAGGAUUUAUUCGCUCUAGGAUGGGCUCGCGUCCAAUUAGCUAGUUGGUGAGGUAACGGCCCACCAAGGCGACGAUUGGUAGCCGGACUGAGAGGUUGAACGGCCACAUUGGGACUGAGACACGGCCCAGACUCCUACGGGAGGCAGCAGUGGGGGAUAUUGCACAAUGGGGGAAACCCUGAUGCAGCGACGCCGCGUGGAGGAAGAAGGUUUUCGGAUUGUAAACUCCUGUCGUUAGGGACGAUAAUGACGGUACCUAACAAGAAAGCACCAGCUAACUACGUG